This 465-nucleotide ribosomal RNA is filed under the name Vreelandella stevensii. Its description in RNAcentral is "partial 16S ribosomal RNA". It matches the Rfam family "Bacterial small subunit ribosomal RNA", at positions 338 to 795 of the family's 1533-position model. The record is from RNAcentral. Lineage: Bacteria; Pseudomonadati; Pseudomonadota; Gammaproteobacteria; Oceanospirillales; Halomonadaceae.
CCUACGGGGUGCAGCAGUGGGGAAUAUUGGACAAUGGGCGAAAGCCUGAUCCAGCCAUGCCGCGUGUGUGAAGAAGGCCUUCGGGUUGUAAAGCACUUUCAGUGGGGAAGAAAGCCUUGGGGCUAAUACCCUCGAGGAAGGACAUCACCCACAGAAGAAGCACCGGCUAACUCCGUGCCAGCAGCCGCGGUAAUACGGAGGGUGCGAGCGUUAAUCGGAAUUACUGGGCGUAAAGCGCGCGUAGGCGGUCUGAUAAGCCGGUUGUGAAAGCCCCGGGCUCAACCUGGGAACGGCAUCCGGAACUGUCAGGCUAGAGUGCAGGAGAGGAAGGUAGAAUUCCCGGUGUAGCGGUGAAAUGCGUAGAGAUCGGGAGGAAUACCAGUUGCGAAGGCGGCCUUCUGGACUGACACUGACGCUGAGGUGCGAAAGCGUGGGUAGCAAACAGGAUUAGAUACCCCAGUAGUC